CCAAAGCCCAAACCUCUAUCGAGGUUCGCAACGGCGCUCAAGCGGUGGCGAAACCACAAAAAGUCUGGCCGAGACACUAAAGACCACUCAGACAACAGCUGCAGUGGGCAAGAAGAUUCCAAUGCCCUAGAAGGAAGGUCGGAACACUCCAGCUAUGGGGCAUCACAAAGUGUCUCUACAAAGAAAGGCACAGACAGCAAAAGACGAGGCUCGAAAAGGUACAGACGCAACGCCAUCUUUAGCUCCUCGAGCUCAGAGAGCCAAGAAGCAUCGUCAGACUACAGCAGCGAUGAAUCUGAAGGGAGCCAUCUCUCUGACAAGUUAGCAGCCAGCCUCCAUUCACAUCGGCAACACAAGGCCAGAGGUUCACCGAAAUCGACAGAAGAAGGCUCAAGGCAGUGUUUAGCCAUCAGGUCCCGCGGCGAGAGACAGGAGAUCGACGGGCAAACCCUGAGAUCACCCGCGAAAUCGAGGCCGAGCACGCCAGCCAAAUUGAGCACUUCCCCGCGCAACUCUGCCUUCAGUACCGUCAGCCCACGCGUGAAAGAAAGGAGCGCGGAGCGCAGGGUGCCUCGCGCCGAGCACCCGCAACCAGCAGAGGACCCAAAGCCCAUCGAGGACAAAGAGUCUGGUGCAGGCUCGCUCGAAGGAGAGUUUGGAGACGACUCAGAUCGCCCCGUGUCUAAACACGAGGACGAGGCACCUCGUCGGCGGUCCUCGAGGAAGUCUGAGCUCUUCGGAGAGUCCGAAGACAGCGAAGCAGAUCAACGCGGCGCCUACUCUGUGUCGAUGUAAAGGAGGCCGACGUGUGAAACGAGCACGCGGCGAACAGCGGGCGAUCGACUCAUUCCUUCUUCAACCACUGUCUCUCUACUUCACUCCUAUCUUUCAAAGAGAACGCAUGGAGUCCCGGGGACGACGACCCUCUAAAACACUCCGCUCGCACGGCGCACAGAGCUCUCGCAUGAUAUGCUAUUUGGAGGAGCUGGCCAACAAUGUGCAAGCGUCACACUUAGAGGAGGCGUCCUCGAGUGGAAAACAGCACCUCGGGCUGGUGAGCGUUUACUCGGAUCGCAGACGGUCUGACGAUGCGUCGAAGCGGCUGAAGAAGGAAACCUCGGACCAUGCUCUCGAUGAAAGAGCAGAUUCGGUCCAGUGCGGGACUUAGACGUCCGUACAAACCAGUGUGG
This 1190-nucleotide long non-coding RNA is filed under the name Oryzias javanicus (javanese ricefish). Its description in RNAcentral is "lncRNA (ENSOJAG00000005754.1)". Lineage: Eukaryota; Metazoa; Chordata; Actinopteri; Beloniformes; Adrianichthyidae. The record is from RNAcentral.